Molecule: ribosomal RNA, 253 nt
Filed under: uncultured bacterium
Lineage: Bacteria
Description: partial 16S ribosomal RNA
Rfam family: Bacterial small subunit ribosomal RNA
Source: RNAcentral
UACGGAGGGGGCUAGCGUUGUUCGGAAUUACUGGGCGUAAAGCGCACGUAGGCGGCUUUGUAAGUUGGAGGUGAAAGCCCGGAGCUCAACUCCGGAAUUGCCUUUAAGACUGCAUCGCUAGAAUUGUGGAGAGGUGAGUGGAAUUCCGAGUGUAGAGGUGAAAUUCGUAGAUAUUCGGAAGAACACCAGUGGCGAAGGCGACUCACUGGACACAUAUUGACGCUGAGGUGCGAAAGCGUGGGGAGCAAACAGG